RNAcentral lists this ribosomal RNA (1138 nucleotides) under Pseudomonas sp. RNAcentral describes it as "bacterial SSU rRNA". It matches the Rfam family "Bacterial small subunit ribosomal RNA", at positions 31 to 1174 of the family's 1533-position model. Lineage: Bacteria; Pseudomonadati; Pseudomonadota; Gammaproteobacteria; Pseudomonadales; Pseudomonadaceae. The record is from RNAcentral.
GGGCCUUGGCGGCAGCUACCAUGCAGUCGAGCGGUAGAGAGAAGCUUGCUUCUCUUGAGAGCGGCGGACGGGUGAGUAAUGCCUAGGAAUCUGCCUGGUAGUGGGGGAUAACGUUCGGAAACGGACGCUAAUACCGCAUACGUCCUACGGGAGAAAGCAGGGGACCUUCGGGCCUUGCGCUAUCAGAUGAGCCUAGGUCGGAUUAGCUAGUUGGUGAGGUAAUGGCUCACCAAGGCGACGAUCCGUAACUGGUCUGAGAGGAUGAUCAGUCACACUGGAACUGAGACACGGUCCAGACUCCUACGGGAGGCAGCAGUGGGGAAUAUUGGACAAUGGGCGAAAGCCUGAUCCAGCCAUGCCGCGUGUGUGAAGAAGGUCUUCGGAUUGUAAAGCACUUUAAGUUGGGAGGAAGGGUUGUAGAUUAAUACUCUGCAAUUUUGACGUUACCGACAGAAUAAGCACCGGCUAACUCUGUGCCAGCAGCCGCGGUAAUACAGAGGGUGCAAGCGUUAAUCGGAAUUACUGGGCGUAAAGCGCGCGUAGGUGGUUUGUUAAGUUGGAUGUGAAAUCCCCGGGCUCAACCUGGGAACUGCAUUCAAAACUGACUGACUAGAGUAUGGUAGAGGGUGGUGGAAUUUCCUGUGUAGCGGUGAAAUGCGUAGAUAUAGGAAGGAACACCAGUGGCGAAGGCGACCACCUGGACUAAUACUGACACUGAGGUGCGAAAGCGUGGGGAGCAAACAGGAUUAGAUACCCUGGUAGUCCACGCCGUAAACGAUGUCAACUAGCCGUUGGAAGCCUUGAGCUUUUAGUGGCGCAGCUAACGCAUUAAGUUGACCGCCUGGGGAGUACGGCCGCAAGGUUAAAACUCAAAUGAAUUGACGGGGGCCCGCACAAGCGGUGGAGCAUGUGUUUAAUUCGAAGCAACGCGAAGAACCUUACCAGGCCUUGACAUCCAAUGACUUUCUAGAGAUAGAUUGGUGCCUUCGGGAACAUUGAAACAGGUGCUGCAUGCUGUCGUCAGCUCGUGUCGUGAGAUGUUGGAUAAGUCCCGUAACGAGCGCAACCCUGUCCUUAGUUACCAGCACGGUCAUGGUGGGCCUUCUAAAGGGAACUGCCGGUGACAAACCGGGAAGAA